RNAcentral lists this ribosomal RNA (405 nucleotides) under uncultured bacterium. RNAcentral's name for it is "partial 16S ribosomal RNA". It matches the Rfam family "Bacterial small subunit ribosomal RNA", at positions 30 to 526 of the family's 1533-position model. The record is from RNAcentral.
AUUGAACGCUAGCGGGAUGCUUUACACAUGCAAGUCGAACGAGUGGCGGACGGGUGAGUCAUAUAUCGGAACGUGCCCAGUAGCGGGGGAUAACUACUCGAAAGGGUAGCUAAUACCGCAUACGAUCGGAGCGGCCGAUAUCGGAUUAGCUAGUUGGUGGGGUAAAGGCUCACCAAGGCCACGAUCCGUAGCUGGUUUGAGAGGACGACCAGCCACACUGGGACUGAGACACGGCCCAGACUCCUCCGGGAGGCAGCAGUGGGGAAUUUUGGACAAUGGGGGAAACCCUGAUCCAGCCAUCCCGCGUGUAUGAGAAGGCCUGCGGGUUGUAAAGUACUUUUGGCAGAGAAGCGUUAUCUGCAGAAUAAGCACCGGCUAACUACGUGCCAGCAGCCGCGGUAAUUC